RNAcentral lists this ribosomal RNA (282 nucleotides) under uncultured prokaryote. Its description in RNAcentral is "partial 16S ribosomal RNA". It matches the Rfam family "Bacterial small subunit ribosomal RNA", at positions 524 to 803 of the family's 1533-position model. The record is from RNAcentral.
UACGGAGGAUCCGAGCGUUAUCCGGAUUUAUUGGGUUUAAAGGGUGCGCAGGCGGGAGAUUAAGUCGGCGGUGAAAUUUUGCGGCUCAACUGUAAAAGUGCCUUCGAAACUGGUUUCCUUGAGUGUAGAUGAAGUAGGCGGAAUUUGUAGUGUAGCGGUGAAAUGCAUAGAUAUUACAAGGAACUCCGAUUGCGAAGGCAGCUUACUAAAUUACAACUGACGCUUAGGCACGAAGGCGUGGGUAUCAAACAGGAUUAGAUACCCCUGUAGUUCCUGAGCGGG